Molecule: long non-coding RNA, 288 nt
Organism: Balaenoptera acutorostrata (minke whale)
Lineage: Eukaryota; Metazoa; Chordata; Mammalia; Artiodactyla; Balaenopteridae
Exons: 3
Source: RefSeq, a predicted model, not a curated record
UGCUGAUUCUCCAAGGAGGGAGAUUGCUAGUAAAGCGGCUGGAAUGGCGAACCCGAGCACAAGGAGAUGAGAAAUGAGGACAAAUUGCAACCUGUACGGAAAAGGAGGUUAAAGGUGCUGAUUCUCCAAGGAGGGAGAUUGCUAGUAAAGCGGCUGGAAUGGCGAACCCGAGCACAAGGAGAUGAGAAAUGAGGACAAAUUGCCACCUGUACGGAACAGGAGGUUAAAGGUGCUGAUUGUCCAAGGAGGGAGAUUGCUAGUAAAGAGGCUGGAAGGGCGAACCCGAGC